ACGGGGGCGGCCGCAGGACACGCAAGUACAGUCGCGGGUUGACAUUUGAGAUUCUCUUCUAUGCCAUUUGUUUCUGACCUAAAUAAUACUCCGGAAAGCGGUGUAGGGGGCCGGGAGGUGGUGCACCGGGUUAAGUGUACAUAGCCUGAAGCAUAAGGACAAACGCGAGGAUCCCAGUUCGAGCCCCCAUAUCCCCACCUUCACAAGCAGUCUCUUCUUAGGUGAAUAUUCAGUUCAUAUCCUCUCCCCACUUUGGGAUGGCUUUCAACUUUUUUAUAAUAAGAAACGGAGAGAACUUGAGAGGAAAGGAGAAGGAAGAGGAGGAGGAAGAGAAGGAGAAGAAGGAGAAGGGGAAGAAAGAGAAGAAGAAAAAGAAAAAGGAGGAGGAAGAGAAGGAGAAGAAGGAGGAGGAGAAGGAGAAGGAGGAGGAAGAGAAGGGGAAGGGGAAGAAAGAGAAGAAGAAAAAGAAAAAGGAGGAGGAAGAGAAGGAGAAGAAGGAGGAGGAGGAGGAGAAGAAGGAGGAGGAGGCGAAGGAGAAGGAGAAGAAGAAGACCUGCUGCACUGCUUCACCAUUUGCAAGGCUGGGGGUCUCAACCUGGGUCCUUGCACAUUGUAAUAUGUGUGCUCAACCAGGUGUGCCACCCAGCCCCUCCUCUGUCUUCAUCAGGAGUGAUAAGGAAAGGAAAACACAAAGUAAAACUUGGAUUGGGUGUAUUGGAUUGUACCAAAGCAAUGGACUCUGAGGAAGGAGGGGAGAAAGAGGCUGGUGGGGGGCACCGGAUGCAUGAUGGUUGAAAAGAAUCUUAAGUUGUAAACAUGUAUUAAAGGGAGAUGAGAAACUGUGCCCAUAUAUCAACAAUUAUAGUCCAUCAACCCCCCAUAAAGUAAACAAGAAAAAGAAUCCUCAUGUAAUCUCAAUUUCUGCAAUAACCUUCUUCCAAAUAAACUGCUCUGUCAGUUUAGU
This is a long non-coding RNA of Erinaceus europaeus (western European hedgehog), 964 nucleotides long. RefSeq lists it as uncharacterized. The transcript has 3 exons. Lineage: Eukaryota; Metazoa; Chordata; Mammalia; Eulipotyphla; Erinaceidae. The record is from RefSeq and is a predicted model, not a curated record.